Long non-coding RNA from Alnus glutinosa, 527 nucleotides. RefSeq lists it as uncharacterized. The record is from RefSeq and is a predicted model, not a curated record. The transcript has 3 exons. NCBI's taxonomy places the organism in Eukaryota, Viridiplantae, Streptophyta, Magnoliopsida, Fagales, Betulaceae.
UGUGUGUGUGAGGUUGUUGACUUAGUGGUCUCUCCAAAUCAAAAAAGGGUCUCUGUGUCUCUGGUUUACCCAUGUGACACACUAUCCCCUCCCCUCCCCUCCCUCCCUCGGAGCUUCUUAUAGUUAUGUGCCAACAACCAUUUCAAUCAUUUUGGCAGCUUGAUAUAGUGACAUUUUGAAUCCUCAAGAGAAAUUUGAAAGGAUAAUGCGCGGAAUCCAGGGUGCUCUUGUUGUUGCCUCAACUCUCCAGAUUGUUGUUGGCUUUAGUGGCCUUUGGCGUAAUGUUGCAAGGUUCUUAAGUCCACUUUCUGCUGUUCCCCGGCCUGGUCGCUUUGUCAGGUUUUGGGCUAUAUGAGUUUGGUUUUCCUGUGGUAUGUAUCUAUGAACUUCCAACAACAGAAAGAGUUUUUUUGGAAUUACAUGCUACUUCUUAGAUUACUUGUGAAGUUCAAUAAAAAUUAAUGCUUAUGUCCAUAUUAAUCUCUGUAAUUAUUGAUAACUGUAAAAUAGAGUUAGAGAAAGAUAAA